This is a long non-coding RNA of Cyprinus carpio (common carp), 1076 nucleotides long. Lineage: Eukaryota; Metazoa; Chordata; Actinopteri; Cypriniformes; Cyprinidae. The record is from Ensembl.
UCAGAAACGUAGAAGAACUGUGAUCACUAUUUAAAAAAAAAAAAAAUGAGGCUCAAUUUAUCCAGAAGCAUUCAACUGUCUGAAAAAGUCUUUUAGUACUUAUGUACUAAGGAUUGACGAGCCAACAUAAUGAUUAUUAUGAAAACUCUUGACAGCUGACUUCUGUUUGCUAUCCAUUAUAUUUUUGAUAGCCCACUUAUGAAUAGCCUCGGGUCUGUAGAACAGAAACAUUUUGUGACACCUAAAUUAAGUUGCCAUUCUGAUUUUUUACUUCCAGGAGUGUGUGGAGAAACUAAAUUUGUUGUUGCAGUUUGCAGUUGUUGGAAGUUGUGGACUCCACACUCUGCACAAUGCCUUCAAACAUGGCUUUGCAAAAUGAUAGAUAGACAAACUGUUGAAGGCUUUACAUUCACUGUUUAAUUGUGCUCCAGCAAGAACAGAAGAUUUUUGUUGUAUGACCAAGUCUUCUGUAUUCCCUUUACACUUCUGUGGUCACCGUUGGUUGGAGAGCUUACCAGUGGCUGAGAGAGCUGUGGAGAUUUGGCCAUCCAUGGAGACAUAUGUUGAUGCAGUCAAAUAUAAGAAAAUUCCAAACCCUGGUUCGUCGUCCUUUGACACCAUUGCCGCUUCACGAGAGGACCUUUUGAUACUUCCAAAGCUUAAUUUCUUCAUGCCUGUGUCAAGGACCUUUCAACCAUUCUUGGAGAAGUAUCAAACUGAUCUGCCAGUCAUGCCUUUCUUAAACAAAGACUUAACUGAACUACUGAAGAGUCUUAUAAGACGCUUUGUCAAAAAAGAGCUACUGGAUGUCUCCACAGUUAAACUGGCCAGAUUAGAUGCAGCUGAUGUGCAGACCUGGGUCCCUAUAAAGAUGUCUACAUUGGAAUAGGUGCUUCCUCUGUUCCUAAGGUCCUGUAUAGCUAAAGACAAAAAAAAUCAUUUAAAGGGAUAGUUCACCCAAAAAUGAAAAUUCUGUCAUCAUUUACUCAACCUCAGGUUGUUCCAAACCUAUAUAAAUGUCUUUGUUAUGCUCAACACAAAGAAAGAUAUUUAGAAGAAUAUCAGUAACAAAAUAG